Hippocampus zosterae (dwarf seahorse) is the source of this 2225-nucleotide long non-coding RNA. RefSeq lists it as uncharacterized. The record is from RefSeq and is a predicted model, not a curated record. Lineage: Eukaryota; Metazoa; Chordata; Actinopteri; Syngnathiformes; Syngnathidae. The transcript is spliced from 3 exons.
AUCUCAUUCUCCAAGAAUGAGAUGUUUUUGUCAAAUCGGAUUCAAGUGAGAAAGCUUUUUUUUUCCCCUCAGCUAAGUCAUCAUAAGUUCAAGCUGUGGAUUGUUUUUAAACCCAAAUGCGAAGUUUCGAGGUCUAGAAACAUGAAUUUGGAAUUUGCAGUCCUCAAGUUCAUCCAUUCAAGCAUGAUUCAUCUCAUCAAUCUAAAAUGUCACAUUUUUUGCAUCUCAGAUGGCAGGACCGCCCUGUGUACUACUUACGUCCCUUCCCGUGUGCAUGUACAGUAUGUAUUUCUGUUCUCCUUGGAGAGGCUGUAUUUUUAGCCAGACCCCGUUCUUCUUCUUCUACUCCUCCUCCAACAAAUCCGUGAUGCUCCACUUUUUUCCUCCGGCCUACCCCGUGAUGCCCCGCCAUCACUUUAACCAGCAACACUCCAUCGAAGCUCUUCUGUCCAUCCAUGUCAACAACAAAAUAUGCAUCGGAAUCCUGUUUCUAACAAAUUGCUUUUAAAAAAAUUUAGAAAAUAAAAAUUGAUGACAGAUCCAUCAAAAGCAGGUUAUUAGAUCACCACUGUUUACUUGGCAGUGUCAAACAUUGGACCGUUCCUGCAAAGACUGACGCAUGUCUACUUCCAAGGGGGACACAGAUGACCUAAAAAGCCUGAUUUGCAAAUUUCACAGAUCAUUACCUCCAUUAUCGCCAAGUGCUCCAACCGAACCGAACCUGACAACAUGACAAGCUGUCCGUUAACGCUGGCCCUGAAAGAGUUAAAGCGAUUUUUUUCAAAACUUUUCCACCUCUUCCAUCAUUAGCCUUUUCAAUCAAUCGCCUAAACCCGAACACUAACCUUGCAACGUUUCAUUUCUCAAGAUAAUAAAAAAUUAACUGGUCUGGCAAUUCUAGAUUCCAUUUCUCAUCAGUCUAGACCACAUGACAUUUUUUUUUCAAACCCAGUGAAAUGAUAUCCUGUUGUGAAACGUGUAAAAGGGAACCAAAAUAGCCAUGCGUUGUUCACAGUUAUUUGCAAGUCAAAAACAAAAAAAAGUAAAGAAAACAGACUAAAUCCAUCACCCGAGUACAACAGACAUUUCAAGCUCCUUUCCAAGUUACAGUUUGUCCUUGUUAUGACUUGAGCUGCCAGUACUCUGGGUGUUUUUGUGGCUUCAGCCCACGCCAAGAGCACCUCUGGACAUCUUGUAACACACAUCACCCCCUCUUUACAGCGCAAUAUCACUUUGUACAUUACCGAGCGCACUACUCUUGCUCCGACCGCGUUCAAGCCUGAUUACAAUCUUAUUUUUUUCCAUUCGGAAAAACCUUAAAUGCUCUUCACACGUUUUUUUCUUUGAGUGCCGUCAAAAGCCUUCACUUCACCUCCUCUAAGCGCAAAUGUAUUUGUCAUCCUCUGAGUUGCGCACUUCCAAACAGCCGGAAAAUACAUCAGCUUUUGUUUCAGACCAGAAACUUGGCGCCGCUUUUCUUUCCGUAUUUUAAAAACGCAUGCGCGGCCUUUUAAGAGAGACCUGAAAAUGAUACUUGUUUCAAUGUCAAUAAAACAAGACUGAUGAAUGCUUUUACCGCUCCAACACAUUUUAUGAAACAUAAACCGGAAAAGGGAUUUGAACGCACCUCGAAAAUUGCAAUUAUAUAACACACAAAUAUAUCUGUGUGUUAUAUCUGUGUGUUCGCUAGGGGCCUUUAAGAGGCGGGCCUGCAUGAGUGUCAGUGCGUGAGCUGUGACCAACAGCAGCGGCUCUUGCACGAGUAGAAAUCUUGAAAACUAAAAUCUUUCAUUCUUGAGCCAAACAUAUUAAAAUAAUAAUAAUAAUGCAUCAUCAGUAGUGCAGUAAAUGUUUUCUUAACUGACCGGCGGCUAACUACGAGCUACCACCUGCAGCAUCAUGGUUUGAUGUCAACAGGAAUCAGAUGAAAGGGAGCAUUACCGCCAUUUAACCUUCAACGGAAGACAAAAUCUUGCUUGUAAACAGUAAACCGGCAUGUCGACAGGACGCUCGUCGGGAACCUUUCUCGCUAUUUACUGAAGUUGUUGUGCACUGGCAAGCACAUGUCGACAAGGCUCUUCCCAUAAGGCCGACCGACCCACUCCUGAACUCCACUUCGCCCCUUUCUUCACCGGACUUUCACCCCCCCCACACGCAUGCAGGAGGCCAGACGACCCUCAGAGUCAACACGGAAAGUUUAUUACGCUUGGACAUGAAAAUACAGU